Oncorhynchus keta (chum salmon) is the source of this 1119-nucleotide long non-coding RNA. RefSeq lists it as uncharacterized. The record is from RefSeq and is a predicted model, not a curated record. NCBI's taxonomy places the organism in Eukaryota, Metazoa, Chordata, Actinopteri, Salmoniformes, Salmonidae. The transcript is spliced from 6 exons.
UUUAGGUAGUGGUGGAUUGUCUUUAUGUUACGUGUGUGUAUUUUAGGUAGUGGUGGAUUGUCUUUCUGUUACGUGUGUGUAUUUUAGGUAGUGGUGGAUUGUCUUUCUGUUACGUGUGUGUAUUUUAGGUAGUGGUGGAUUGUCUUUAUGUUACGUGUGUGUAUUUUAGGUAGUGGUGGAUUGUCUUUCUGUUACGUGUGUGUAUUUUAGGUAGUGGUGGAUUGUCUUUCUGUUACGUGUGUGUAUUUUAGGUAGUGGUGGAUUGUCUUUAUGUUACGUGUGUGUAUUUUAGGUAGUGGUGGAUUGUCUUUAUGUUAUGUGUGUGUAUUUUAGGUAGUGGUGGAUUGUCUUUAUGUUACGUGUGUGUAUUUUAGGUAGUGGUGGAUUGUCUUUAUGUUACGUGUGUGUAUUUUAGGUAGUGGUGGAUUGUCUUUAUGUUACGUGUGUGUAUUUUAGGUAGUGGUGGAUUGUCUUUAUGUUACGUGUGUGUAUUUUAGGUAGUGGUGGAUUGUCUUUAUGUUACGUGUGUGUAUUUUAGGUAGUGGUGGAUUGUCUUUAUGUUACGUGUGUGCAUUUUAGGUAGUGGUGGAUUGUCUUUAUGUUACGUGUGUGUAUUUUAGGUAGUGGUGGAUUGUCUUUAUGUUACGUGUGUGUAUUUUAGGUAGUGGUGGAUUGUCUUUAUGUUACGUGUGUGUAUUUUAGGUAGUGGUGGAUUGUCUUUCUGUUACGUGUGUGUAUUUUAGGUAGUGGUGGAUUGUCUUUAUGUUACGUGUGUGUAUUUUAGGUAGUGGUGGAUUGUCUUUAUGUUACGUGUGUGUAUUUUAGGUAGUGGUGGAUUGUCUUUAUGUUACGUGUGUGUAUUUUAGGUAGUGGUGGAUUGUCUUUAUGUUAUGUGUGUGCAUUUUAGGUAGUGGUGGAUUGUCUUUUCUUUAACUUGGCACCCUGUGGUUUUUGGGUUGUCUCGUUGUGUGUCCCGCGCCCUGUAUUUGUUGGGCUUAUUAUUUUGUUGUUUCUGAGUAAAGCACUUAAUCUCAGUGGAACUCUCUCUCUGCAUCGGAUUCCUGCACCCACCUAGUCCCGCGUGACAACAGGUAACACCAUAAACAAACGUAUGUUAUG